RNAcentral lists this ribosomal RNA (468 nucleotides) under uncultured bacterium. Its description in RNAcentral is "partial 16S ribosomal RNA". It matches the Rfam family "Bacterial small subunit ribosomal RNA", at positions 28 to 507 of the family's 1533-position model. The record is from RNAcentral.
GACGAACGCUGGCGGCGUGCUUAACACAUGCAAGUCGAACGGAAAGGCCCUGCUUUUGUGGGGUGCUCGAGUGGCGCACGGGUGUGUAACACGUGAGUAACCUGCCCUUGACUUUGGGAUAACUUCAGGAAACUGGUACUAAUACCUGAUAGGAGCUCCUGCUGCAUGGUGGGGGUUGGAACGUUUCGGCGGAUGGGGAUGGACUCGCGGCUUAUCAGCUUGUUGGUUGGGUAGUGGCUUACCAACGCAUUGACGGGUAGCCGGCCUGAGAGGGUGACCGGCGACAUUGGGACUGAGAUACGGACCAGACUCGUACGGGAGGCAGCAGGGGAGAAUAUUGCACAAUGGGGGGAAGCCUGAGGCAGAAACGCCGCGUGCGGGAUGACGGCUUUCGGGUUGUAAACCGCUUUCGCCUGUGACGAAGCGGGAGUGGCGGUAAUGGGUAAAGAAGCACCGGCUAACUACGUG